CAGCCGCCGCGGGAAUACGUAGGGUGCAAGCGUUAAUCGGAAUUACUGGGCGUAAAGCGUGCGCAGGCGGUUAUAUAAGUCAGAUGUGAAAUCCCCGGGCUCAACCUGGGAACUGCAUUUGAAACUGUAUGGCUAGAGUGUGUCAGAGGGGGGUAGAAUUCCACGUGUAGCAGUGAAAUGCGUAGAUAUGUGGAGGAAUACCGAUGGCGAAGGCAGCCCCCUGGGAUAACACUGACGCUCAUGCACGAAAGCGUGGGGAGCAAACAGGAUUAGAUACCCGAGUAGUCCCUGUCUCUUAUAC
RNAcentral lists this ribosomal RNA (301 nucleotides) under uncultured bacterium. RNAcentral's name for it is "partial 16S ribosomal RNA". It matches the Rfam family "Bacterial small subunit ribosomal RNA", at positions 509 to 807 of the family's 1533-position model. The record is from RNAcentral.